Molecule: ribosomal RNA, 840 nt
Filed under: uncultured Chaetothyriales
Lineage: Eukaryota; Fungi; Ascomycota; Eurotiomycetes; Chaetothyriales
Description: eukaryotic LSU rRNA
Rfam family: Eukaryotic large subunit ribosomal RNA (bases 253-840)
Source: RNAcentral
CAGUGAGUCAUCGAAUCUUUGAACGCACAUUGCGCCCUUUGGUAUUCCGAAGGGCAUGCCUGUUCGAGCGUCAUUAUCACCCCUCAAGCCCUAUGCUUGGUGUUGGACGGCCGGUCGGGCGAUCGACCCCUCCGAAAGACAAUGACGGCGGCCUGUGGUUCCCCCGGUACACUGAGCUUCUCCCCGAGCACGUACCGGACGAGGGCACCCGGGACCCGGUCCUCUCCUUUCACUAGGAAACUUUUUCAAGGUUGACCUCGGAUCAGGUAGGAAUACGCGCUGAACUUAAGCAUAUCAAUAAGCGCAGGAAAAGAAACCAACAGGGAUUACCUUAGUAACGGCGAGUGAAGCGGUAAUAGCUCAAAUUUGAAAUCUGGCCUCUUGGGGUCCGAGUUGUAAUUUGUAGAGGAUGUUUUGGGUACCGCCCCGGUCUAAAUUUCUUGGAACAGAAUGUCAAAGAGGGUGAGAAUCCCGUCUUGGACCGGCGGUAGGGCCUGUGUAAAACUCCUUCGACGAGUCGAGUUGUUUGGGAAUGCAGCUCAAAAUGGGUGGUAAAUUUCAUCUAAAGCUAAAUAUUGGCCAGAGACCGAUAGCGCACAAGUAGAGUGAUCGAAAGAUGAAAAGCACUUUGAAAAGAGAGUUAAACAGUAUGUGAAAUUGUUGAAAGGGAAGCGCUGGCUAUCGAUGAAGAGCGCGGCGGUUCCCCCGGUCUUUUGGCCGGGCUACUCCGUCGUGUCCAGGCCAACAUCGGUUCUGAGGGUCGGUCAAAGGCCCUGGGAAUGUAUCUACCCACGGGUAGACUUAUAGACCAGGGUGUCAUGCGGCCUCUCGGGACCGAGG